RNAcentral lists this ribosomal RNA (430 nucleotides) under uncultured bacterium. RNAcentral describes it as "bacterial SSU rRNA". It matches the Rfam family "Archaeal small subunit ribosomal RNA", at positions 339 to 776 of the family's 1478-position model. The record is from RNAcentral.
GCGCGAAACCUUUUCAAUGCGCGCAAGCGUGAGAAGGGAAUUCCAAGUGCUCAAGUUUUACUUGGGCUUUUGCCAAGUGCAAAAAGCUUGGCGAAUAAGGGGUGGGAAAGACUGGUGCCAGCCGCCGCGGUAACACCAGCGCCUCGAGUGGGGGUCGCGAUUAUUGGGUCUAAAGCGUCCGUAGCAGGCUUUGUAAAUGCUUUGUGAAAUCGGCAGGCUUAACCUGCCGGCAUGCAGAAUAGACUGCAGAGCUCGAGACCGGGAGAGGUUAGAAGUAUUCCUAGGGUACCGGUAAAAUGGGUUAAUCCUAGGAGGACUACCUAUGGCGAAGGCAUCUAACCAGAACGGUUCUGACUGUGAGGGACGAAAGCUAGGGGAGCAAAACGGAUUAGAUACCCAAGUAGUCCCUGAGCGGGCUGGCAAGGCGCAU